UACGUAGGGGGCAAGCGUUGUCCGGAUUUAUUGGGCGUAAAGAGCGUGUAGGCGGCCAGGGAGGUCCGUUGUGAAAACUCGAGGCUCAACCUCGAGACGCCGAUGGAAACCCCCUGGCUAGAGUCCGGAAGAGGAGAGUGGAAUUCACGGUGUAGCAGUGAAAUGCGUAGAUAUCGUGAGGAAGACCAGUGGCGAAGGCGGAUCUCUGGGACGGUACUGACGCUGAGACGCGAAAGCGUGGGGAGCAAACAGG
This 253-nucleotide ribosomal RNA is filed under the name uncultured bacterium. Its description in RNAcentral is "partial 16S ribosomal RNA". It matches the Rfam family "Bacterial small subunit ribosomal RNA", at positions 524 to 776 of the family's 1533-position model. The record is from RNAcentral.